This is a non-coding RNA of Lactuca sativa (garden lettuce), 1384 nucleotides long. Lineage: Eukaryota; Viridiplantae; Streptophyta; Magnoliopsida; Asterales; Asteraceae. The record is from RefSeq and is a predicted model, not a curated record.
UCACAACAUCCUUAUGAACAGUACCUAACCCGGGUUACUGUUCAUAAAGAUGCUUUUAACUCAACCAAGGUUACUUUGUCCACUGAUCCACUGCCUCCAUCAUUAGCUUCUAAAUUCUCAAUGUAUUCCACCUUCUCCACCGCUCACCUUUUCCGCUGGGUUACUACACAGUUCCGGUUCGUUGCACCCCGCUAUUAUUUGUGUAUUCGAACUUUAAAUUGACUGAUGGUGAUGAAACAGAGGUUGAAGAAGCCACUGGUUUCUCUAUGUUUUCGUAGACACAAAGUCACCGUCCGCCGCCCGCCGGUUGACUUCCGCCUGCCGACUCCCUUCCGUCGGUCUUUACGACCUUCGUUUUGCAGAAAAUCGACUCGACAAUCGACUGGUGUUCGACUUCAUGUAUACUCGACUGUCUAAAAUCGAUCGACGGUCACACCCUUCUCUAAAAUCGAACGACGACGCCCCGUUGAUGCAAUUUCCUUUGUGCCUUACGGUGGAAGAAAGGUACCCGAUACAAGCUGAAAGUAAAAAAAAAAAAAAGGAAGAAAUCUUACGGAAAUUGAACUAUAAGCGUUACGGGUGCAAACGAGCCAAGCUACUCGUGAGCUACUCGGGAUCGGAUCGAUAAAAGCUCGACUCGAAACCGAUUUUAAACGAGCCCGAGCCGAGCUCGGGCUUAAUAUUAAGCUCGUUUAUUAAACUAGCUCGAGCUCGAGCCUAUGUCACUAAGCUCGAUUAGGCUCGCGAGCCUAAACGAGCCUUUAUAUAAAAUAAUUUAUUAUUAUUUUUUAUAUUAAAAUAAAAACAUAUUUCGGGAUUAGGGAUUUAGGGUAUUUGUAAACGAGCUUCUUAACGAGCUCGAGCCGAGCUUAAGCUUAUUUAGGCACGUCAGACAAAAAACGAGCCGAGCCCGAGCCUAAAUCAAGCUUGUAUAAUUAUUUACGAGCUCGAGCCGAGCUCAGUACAAGAAGCUCUAAUCGAGCCGAGCUCGAGCUCGAGCCUCGCAUAACUUAAACGAGCACGAGUCGAGCCUGACUAGGCUCGGGCUCGGCUCGUUUGCACCCCUAAUAAGCGUGCAAAUUAAAGACCUUAGAAAUUGUGACCGCUAAAGUUUGGUGUUGCUGGGAAUUUUGAGUCACUUGGUAUCAGGAUUUAAAGGAGGUGAGCUUCAAAAGAAUCCAAAUGUUAUUGAGAUACUUAAUAGGCAUUUUACUUUCAUUGAGUCUAUUUUUUUUUUAUUAAAAUUGCAUUAUAUGUUUUUGCUAUUUAAUUCACAUCCAACCUAUGCAAAGCAUGGACACCUACACUAGUUUACAUUAAUUAUAUUAUUUUAAAUUUUGUAACACUUGGCUUUUUAUCAUAGAAUAAAAAGUAAAUUAUGUAA